This 85-nucleotide microRNA precursor is filed under the name Spodoptera frugiperda (fall armyworm). Its description in RNAcentral is "microRNA sfr-mir-10480 precursor". The record is from miRBase by way of RNAcentral. Lineage: Eukaryota; Metazoa; Arthropoda; Insecta; Lepidoptera; Noctuidae.
AGUUUCCGUGGCGUGUUUAGCCGUCACAGUGACAUUUUUAAACUACAUAAUGUCACUUUGACAGCAAACCACAACAUGGAAAACU